This 349-nucleotide unclassified non-coding RNA is filed under the name soil metagenome. RNAcentral describes it as "partial contains 5.8S ribosomal RNA, internal transcribed spacer 2, and large subunit ribosomal RNA". The stretch from base 1 to 120 matches the Rfam family "5.8S ribosomal RNA", at positions 35 to 154 of the family's 154-position model. The record is from RNAcentral.
GAUGAAGAACGCAGCGAAAUGCGAUACGUAAUGUGAAUUGCAGAAUUCAGUGAAUCAUCGAAUCUUUGAACGCACAUUGCGCCCGCCAGCACUCUGGCGGGCAUGCCUGUCCGAGCGUCAUUUCAACCCUCAGGGCCCCUUCGGGGGACCUGGCGUUGGGGAUCGGCCCGCCCCCGUGCGGCGCCGUCCCCGAAAUAUAGUGGCGGUCUCGCUGCAGCCUCCCCUGCGUAGUAGCACACCUCGCACUGGAGAGCGGCGCGGCCACGCCGUGAAACCCCCAACUUCUGAAUGUUGACCUCGGAUCAGGUAGGAAUACCCGCUGAACUUAAGCAUAUCAAUAAGCGGAGGA